RNAcentral lists this ribosomal RNA (1005 nucleotides) under human gut metagenome. Its description in RNAcentral is "bacterial LSU rRNA". It matches the Rfam family "Bacterial large subunit ribosomal RNA", at positions 1919 to 2925 of the family's 2925-position model. The record is from RNAcentral.
CCCGGUAAACGGCGGCCGUAACUAUAACGGUCCUAAGGUAGCGAAAUUCCUUGUCGGGCAAGUUCCGACCUGCACGAAUGGUGUAACCAUGGCCACGCUGUCUCCACCCGGGACCCAGUGAAACCGAAAUCGCUGUGAAGAUGCAGUGUACCCGCGGCUAGACGGAAAGACCCCGUGAACCUUUACUGCAGCUUGACACUGAACCUUGAACCUGUUUGUGCAGGAUAGGCGGGAGACUUUGAAGUAGAGACGCCAGUCUUUAUGGAGUCGACCUUGAAAUACCGCCCUGAUAUGUUUGAGGUUCUAACUUGAAGGUAACAGCCUUAAGGACAGUGUCUGGUGGGAAGUUUGACUGGGGCGGUCUCCUCCCAAAGAGUAACGGAGGAGCACGAAGGUCGGCUGAUCACGGUCGGAAACCGUGAGGUCAGUGCAAUGGCAAAAGCCGGCUUGACUGCGAGAGCAACAACUCGAGCAGGUGCGAAAGCAGGUCAUAGUGAUCCGGUGGUUCCAUAUGGACGGGCCAUCGCUCAACGGAUAAAAGGUACUCUGGGGAUAACAGGCUGAUACCGCCCAAGAGUUCAUAUCGACGGCGGUGUUUGGCACCUCGAUGUCGGCUCAUCACAUCCUGGGGCUGAAGUUGGUCCCAAGGGUAUGGCUGUUCGCCAUUUAAAGUGGUACGCGAGCUGGGUUCAAAACGUCGUGAGACAGUUUGGUCCCUAUCUACCGCGGGCGUUGGAUGAUUGAAGGGGAUUGCUCCUAGUACGAGAGGACCGGAGUGAACGAGCCUCUGGUUUACGGGUUGUCAUGCCAAUGGCACGGCCCGGCAGCCAAGCCCGGAACUGAUAACCGCUGAAAGCAUCUAAGCGGGAAGCAGGCCCUAAGAUGAGUCAUCCCUGACUUUAAGUCAAUAAAGACCGUUGAAGACUACGACGUUGAUAGGCUGGAUGUGGAAGCACCGUGAGGUGUGUAGCUUGCCAGUACUAAUUGUCUGAACGUCUUGACCAU